RNAcentral lists this ribosomal RNA (406 nucleotides) under uncultured bacterium. RNAcentral describes it as "partial 16S ribosomal RNA". It matches the Rfam family "Bacterial small subunit ribosomal RNA", at positions 30 to 526 of the family's 1533-position model. The record is from RNAcentral.
AUUGAACGCUGGCGGCAGGCCUAACACAUGCAAGUCGAGCGAGUGGCGGACGGGUGAGUAAUGUCUGGGAAACUGCCUGAUGGAGGGGGAUAACUACUGGAAACGGUAGCUAAUACCGCAUACCAUCAGAUGUGCCCAGAUGGGAUUAGCUAGUAGGUGGGGUAACGGCUCACCUAGGCGACGAUCCCUAUCUGGUCUGAGAGGAUGCCCAGCCACACUGGAACGGAGACACGGUCCAGACUCCUACGGGGGGCAGCAGUGGGGAAUAUUUCACAAUGGGCGCAAGCCUGAUGCAGCCAUGCCGCGUGUGUGAAGAAGGCCUUCGGGUUGUAAAGCACUUUCAGCGGGGAGGCGUUACUCGCAGAAGAAGCACCGGCUAACUCCGUGCCAGCAGCCGCGGUAAUUC